Molecule: transfer RNA, 73 nt
Filed under: Bos taurus (domestic cattle)
Lineage: Eukaryota; Metazoa; Chordata; Mammalia; Artiodactyla; Bovidae
Also listed under: 4 other names
Rfam family: tRNA
About the family: Transfer RNA (tRNA) molecules are approximately 80 nucleotides in length.
Source: Rfam by way of RNAcentral
UCCCUGCUGUCUAAGAUGGUAAAGAAUCUGCCUGCAAUGCGGGAGUCCCUGGAUUCGAUCCCUGGGUUGGGAA